GGUCCUUUAAGGUCUUGAACAUCGGUUUCCUGACUUGAGCGGGGCCCAUGCCCCUGCCAAGGAGGCUCAGCCUGGAAGCAGCUAGCCGAUUUCCCAUCUGCCCCACCAAGACCCAGCAAGGAUCUCUACUUGACUUUCCUCCUUCAGGCAACCACCUAGAAAAUCGUUGUUUGUUCAUGUCACAAGUGAAAGUAUCUUUCUCAUGCGUUCAUCGUUGGCACGUCCUCCUUUGGCAAUAUUAAAACCUACCAACAAAUGAGAAAGUUUAACAUUUGCACCAUCUUGUCAUAUUCAAAAACUUUGUGCUUAGUGUUUUGAAACUCUUUAAGCUCUGUUAGCUUGGCCUGUGUCCCUGGAGGUGCAGCUUCAAGCUUAGGACCACCCACCAUGCCCAUCCAGGUGCUGAAGGGUCUGACCAUCACUCGGUAAGAACAGAGGAGACUGCCUGUUACUCGUGAUGGUGAGAAGGCGGAUGUAGACAGCAUCCCUCCAGACUCUCUGCUGUUUCCUGCCUAGGCGUGGCUGCAGCCAUGGGUAGGAAAGUGCUGGCACCCACCCACCUGGGCCGGAGCUGGUUCUGCUCCUGCUACAGGGACACUGAGCUGGCUAUCUCGGCACUUCGGGCAAGAACUGCAACAGGCUCUCCUGGGUCCUGCAGGUGUACAGCCGGGCCCCUGCCUUGUGCCUCAGCUCUGGAGAGCUGCUGCUGCUGGGUGACCUGAUCCAACCUGACAAGG
This 737-nucleotide small RNA is filed under the name Pongo abelii (Sumatran orangutan). RNAcentral describes it as "processed transcript". The record is from RNAcentral. Lineage: Eukaryota; Metazoa; Chordata; Mammalia; Primates; Hominidae.